RNAcentral lists this long non-coding RNA (212 nucleotides) under Theobroma cacao (cacao). RNAcentral describes it as "long non-coding RNA (TCAC_LNC004593)". Lineage: Eukaryota; Viridiplantae; Streptophyta; Magnoliopsida; Malvales; Malvaceae. The record is from RNAcentral.
UAGUCAUCCAUCUGGAUCACUUCAAUAUCCUUUGUCCCGUGCCACUCUCCUAGCUGUACAUCGAUCCCCUUGGCAAUGCCUUUGGUGCGCACCCAUUUGGAGUUGACGGUCUUUACCCAACCUCCAGCGCUAUCAGCUUUUAAGCCUAACUUGGCAGCACCUUGUUCAGACACAAAUAAAUCAGAGGCGCCCGUGUCCACCAAGGCCUCCAC